This is a long non-coding RNA of Pelmatolapia mariae (spotted tilapia), 206 nucleotides long. RefSeq lists it as uncharacterized. NCBI's taxonomy places the organism in Eukaryota, Metazoa, Chordata, Actinopteri, Cichliformes, Cichlidae. The record is from RefSeq and is a predicted model, not a curated record. The transcript is spliced from 3 exons.
ACAUUGACAGCUGUUACAGAGGAGGAAGCAACAGAGACACUUUAUGAGAGUGAUGAUGGAAAUGCAGAGGAAGAGGGUCCAGCCACUUCUCCAACAAACCUUUCCUCACUCCCUGUAAAGCAGCUGUACAAGACCUAUUUGAUCAAGAAAAUAAAGAAAUGUGACUUGGAAAUGGAACACUUCAAGCAGCAGAUCCAAAAGACCAA